This 427-nucleotide ribosomal RNA is filed under the name uncultured bacterium. RNAcentral's name for it is "partial 16S ribosomal RNA". It matches the Rfam family "Bacterial small subunit ribosomal RNA", at positions 355 to 774 of the family's 1533-position model. The record is from RNAcentral.
UGGGGAAUAUUGGACAAUGGGCGAAAGCCUGAUCCAGCCAUGCCGCGUGUGUGAAGAAGGUCUUCGGAUUGAAAAGCACUUUAAGUUGGGAGGAAGGGCAUUAACCUAAUACGUUAGUGUUUUGACGUUACCGACAGAAUAAGCACCGGCUAACUCUGUGCCAGCAGCCGCGGUAAUACAGAGGGUGCAAGCGUUAAUCGGAAUUACUGGGCGUAAAGCGCGCGUAGGUGGUUUGUUAAGUUGGAUGUGAAAGCCCCGGGCUCAACCUGGGAACUGCAUCCAAAACUGGCAAGCUAGAGUACGGUAGAGGGUGGUGGAAUUUCCUGUGUAGCGGUGAAAUGCGUAGAUAUAGGAAGGAACACCAGUGGCGAAGGCGACCACCUGGACUGAUACUGACACUGAGGUGCGAAAGCGUGGGGAGCAAACA